GACGAACGCUGGCGGCGUGCUUAACACAUGCAAGUCAAACGGAAAGGCCCUGCUUUUGUGGGGUGCUCGAGUGGCGAACGGGUGAGUAACACGUGAGUAACCUGCCCUUGACUUUGGUAUAACUUCAGGAAACUGGGGCUAAUACCGGAUAGGAGCUCCUGCUGCAUGGUGGGGGUUGGAAAGUUUCGGCGGUUGGGGAUGGACUCGCGGCUUAUCAGCUUGUUGGUGGGGUAGUGGCUUACCAAGGCUUUGACGGGUAGCCGGCCUGAGAGGGUGACCGGCCACAUUGGGACUGAGAUACGGCCCAGACUCCUACGGGAGGCAGCAGUGGGGAAUAUUGCACAAUGGGCGGAAGCCUGAUGCAGCAACGCCGCGUGCGGGAUGACGGCCUUCGGGUUGUAAACCGCUUUCGCCUGUGACGAAGCGUGAGUGGCGGUAAUGGGUAAAGAAGCACCGGCUAACUACGUG
RNAcentral lists this ribosomal RNA (468 nucleotides) under uncultured bacterium. Its description in RNAcentral is "partial 16S ribosomal RNA". It matches the Rfam family "Bacterial small subunit ribosomal RNA", at positions 28 to 507 of the family's 1533-position model. The record is from RNAcentral.